This 353-nucleotide unclassified non-coding RNA is filed under the name soil metagenome. Its description in RNAcentral is "partial contains 5.8S ribosomal RNA, internal transcribed spacer 2, and large subunit ribosomal RNA". The stretch from base 1 to 120 matches the Rfam family "5.8S ribosomal RNA", at positions 35 to 154 of the family's 154-position model. The record is from RNAcentral.
GAUGAAGAACGCAGCGAAAUGCGAUAAGUAAUGUGAAUUGCAGAAUUCAGUGAAUCAUCGAAUCUUUGAACGCACAUUGCGCCCGCCAGUAUUCUGGCGGGCAUGCCUGUUCGAGCGUCAUUACAACCCUCAGGCCCCCGGGCCUGGCGUUGGGGAUCGGCGGAAGCCCCCUGCGGGCACAACGCCGUCCCCCAAAUACAGUGGCGGUCCCGCCGCAGCUUCCAUUACGUAGUAGCUAACACCUCGCAACUGGAGAGCGGCGCGGCCACGCCGUAAAACACCCAACUUCUGAAUGUUGACCUCGAAUCAGGUAGGAAUACCCGCUGAACUUAAGCAUAUCAAUAAGCGGAGGA